GAGUUACCCAACACUAAAACCUGAUAAAGGCGAAGAAAAUUUUGUGAAAUACAGAAAGGAAAACGAGAAAAGAGAGACUAGCUAAAGUAGGCGCACCAAAACAAACAGUCAGAUAUAAAACUUCGACCUCAACAGUUCGCAUCCUCUCCUCCGUUUGAUCCAGAAAUAAACUUUAACCGGAAAAUAGGAACAGAAAGUGCUAGAAAAGAAAGACCAUUAUGGCAGACACUGCACAUUUCAUUCACGAACGAUUCCAGACGUUUAUGAACGGCCUCGGCGACCGUUAUGAGCCCUACGUGCGCGAGCACCUGUCCAAGGUUUACAUGGUCCUGGGCAGCACUGCCGCCGCCACGGCCAUGGGAGCCCUGCUUCAGAUGCGAGACUUCCUCGAUCUCGGAGUCCUGGCGGCGGUGGCCACACUGAUCCUAGUCCUAGGUCUGCACUUCUACAAAGACGAUGGCAAGAACUACUACACACGACUGAGCAUGCUCUACGCAUUCGGAUUCUGCUCUGGCCAGACCCUCGGACCGCUCCUCGGCUAUAUAUGCAGCAUUAAUCCGGCCAUUAUUCUAUCGGCCCUCACCGGCACCUUUGUCACCUUCAUCACGCUCUCCCUGGCCGCCCUCUUGGCCGAGCAGGGCAAGUACCUCUACCUGGGCGGAAUGCUUGUCAGCGUCAUCAACACCAUGGCCCUAUUGAGUCUCUUCAACAUGGUGUUCAAGUCCUAUUUCGUGCAAGUGACUCAACUCUACGUCGGCGUUUUCGUGAUGGCUGCCUUCAUCGUCUAUGACACCCAGAACAUCGUAGAGAAGUGCCGGAACGGAAACCGAGAUGUGGUGCAGCAUGCCCUAGAUCUGUUCUUCGAUGUGCUUAGCAUGUUCCGCCGAUUGCUGAUUAUCCUGACACAAAAGCUCAAGACCUUCAUGGUUUAAGGCGAUUAAUGCCCAAGCGAAUCGGCCGAAUUAUCUUGGUCAGAUAAUCCUCGAACAGUCGCUAAUCACUUUGCAAAAUCUUUCCAAAAUGAAAUUCGCUGUGAUAAACCAUUUCAAACGGAGGAGCGUAAACAGAAUGAACGUCGCAAGAGAAACUAAGUCAAUCUUUAAACAAUCCCAACCAGCAAAACAAAACAUCUGGCGAGGGAAAAGGCGGUUGGUAGUUUUCUCUUUCUAAACAUUUAUUCGCAUAUAAAUUAAAAAGGGCCGUGUACAUUUGGCUUUAAAUUUACAUAUGUACAACUGUUCAAUAUGAAACCCAUGCAAAUUCCCUAUUUAAUAAAUACCACAAAAAGUCA
This is an RNA transcript of Drosophila gunungcola (fruit fly), 1291 nucleotides long. It is a transcript of the gene named bax inhibitor 1, with no coding region annotated. The transcript has 5 exons. Lineage: Eukaryota; Metazoa; Arthropoda; Insecta; Diptera; Drosophilidae. The record is from RefSeq and is a predicted model, not a curated record.